RNAcentral lists this ribosomal RNA (119 nucleotides) under Amorphochlora amoebiformis. Its description in RNAcentral is "5.8S ribosomal RNA". It matches the Rfam family "5.8S ribosomal RNA", at positions 1 to 119 of the family's 154-position model. Rfam says of the family: 5.8S ribosomal RNA (5.8S rRNA) is a component of the large subunit of the eukaryotic ribosome. It is transcribed by RNA polymerase I as part of the 45S precursor that also contains 18S and 28S rRNA. Lineage: Eukaryota; Cercozoa; Chlorarachniophyceae. The record is from RNAcentral.
AAAUCCUGGUGAUGGAUGUCUAGGCUCUUGUAUCGAUGAAGAACGCGGCAAGGGGCGAUAUCGGGUGAUACGAGCUCACAAUCGUGAAUCAUCAAGUCUUCGAACGCAACUGGCGCUCA